GACGAACGCUGGCGGCGUGCUUAACACAUGCAAGUCGAACGGAAAGGCCCUGCUUUUGUGGGGUGCUCGAGUGGCGAACGGGUGAGUAACACGUGAGUAACCUGCCCUUGACUUUGGGAUAACUUCAGGAAACUGGGGCUAAUACCGGAUAGGAGCUCCUGCUGCAUGGUGGGGGUUGGAAAGUUUCGGCGGUUGGGGAUGGACUCGCGGCUUAUCAGCUUGUUGGUGGGGUAGUGGCUUACCAAGGCUUUGACGGGUAGCCGGCCUGAGAGGGUGACCGGCCACAUUGGGACUGAGAUACGGCGCAGACGCCUGCGGGAGGCAGCAGUGGGGAAUAUUGCACAAUGGGCGGAAGCCUGAUGCAGCAACGCCGCGUGCGGGAUGACGGCCUUCGGGUUGUAAACCGCUUUCGCCUGUGACGAAGCGUGAGUGACGGUAAUGGGUAAAGAAGCACCGGCUAACUACG
RNAcentral lists this ribosomal RNA (466 nucleotides) under uncultured bacterium. RNAcentral describes it as "partial 16S ribosomal RNA". It matches the Rfam family "Bacterial small subunit ribosomal RNA", at positions 28 to 505 of the family's 1533-position model. The record is from RNAcentral.